GCAUUUUUUUCUCUCGUGUAAUUUGUAGAAAUGCUGACGGAGCUGUCGAGAAGAGAGAAAGCAGCAAACAUCAAGCUAGAUUCCGACGUAGAUGUCUACAUGAAGAUUGCUGCCAACCUACGCAGUCAGCUUUGAAAACUUUUAGGAGGGCAAAAUCAAAGAUAUCGGAGUGGGCUUAUGGAUUGUUAGGGUGGUGGUGGUGUUUUUUUCUAGUUUUUUUAUUUUUAUUUUUUGGGUAUUUUCCUUGGCUUGUAAAUAGUAGUAAAUUGUUGGUAUUGCUAGGUUUUGUGGCUGGUUGUUUUCUCAGUCGUAGAUUUCAGGCUCUUUUUCCAAAGGCUGUGAUGAUGGUUUGGACUUU
Long non-coding RNA from Magnolia sinica, 358 nucleotides. RefSeq lists it as uncharacterized. The transcript is spliced from 2 exons. The record is from RefSeq and is a predicted model, not a curated record. Lineage: Eukaryota; Viridiplantae; Streptophyta; Magnoliopsida; Magnoliales; Magnoliaceae.